UACAGAGGUGGCAAGCGUUGUCCGGAAUUGCUGGGCGUAAAGCGCGCGUAGGCGGCUAGAUAAGUCCGGUGUGCAAUCCCACGGCUUAACCGGGGCACGGCAUCGGGGACUGUUUAGCUUGAGGACGGGAGAGGAGAGCGGAAUUCCCGGUGUAGCGGUGAAAUGCGUAGAGAUCGGGAGGAAGGCCGGUGGCGAAGGCGGCUCUCUAGAACGUCCCUGACGCUGAGGCGCGAAAGCGUGGGGAGCAAACAGG
This 253-nucleotide ribosomal RNA is filed under the name uncultured bacterium. Its description in RNAcentral is "partial 16S ribosomal RNA". It matches the Rfam family "Bacterial small subunit ribosomal RNA", at positions 524 to 776 of the family's 1533-position model. The record is from RNAcentral.